GGGUGCGAUCAUACCAGCGUUAAUGCAUCGGAUCCCAUUAGAACUCCGCAUUUAAGCAUGCUUGGGCUAGAGUUGUACUGGGAUGGGUGACCUCCCUAGAAGUCCUAGUGUUGCACCCU
This is a non-coding RNA of Picea glauca (white spruce), 119 nucleotides long. The record is from Rfam. NCBI's taxonomy places the organism in Eukaryota, Viridiplantae, Streptophyta, Pinopsida, Pinales, Pinaceae.